This 497-nucleotide ribosomal RNA is filed under the name uncultured bacterium. Its description in RNAcentral is "partial 16S ribosomal RNA". It matches the Rfam family "Bacterial small subunit ribosomal RNA", at positions 28 to 507 of the family's 1533-position model. The record is from RNAcentral.
GACGAACGCUGGCGGCGUGCCUAAUACAUGCAAGUUGAGCGAUGAAGAUUGGUGCUUGCCCCAAUUUGAAGAGCAGCGAACGGGUGAGUAACGCGUGGGGAAUCUGCCUUUGAGCGGGGGACAACAUUUGGAAACGAAUGCUAAUACCGCAUAACAACUUUAAACAUAAGUUUUAAGUUUGAAAGAUGCAAUUGCAUCACUCAAAGAUGAUCCCGCGUUGUAUUAGCUAGUUGGUGAGGUAAGGGCUCACCAAGGCGAUGAUACAUAGCCGACCUGAGAGGGUGAUCGGCCACAUUGGGACUGAGACACGGCCCAAACUCCUACGGGAGGCAGCAGUAGGGAAUCUUCGGCAAUGGACGAAAGUCUGACCGAGCAACGCCGCGUGAGUGAAGAAGGUUUUCGGAUCGUAAAACUCUGUUGGUAGAGAAGAACGUUGGUGAGAGUGGAAAGCUCAUCAAGUGACGGUAACUACCCAGAAAGGGACGGCUAACUACGUG